AAUAAACCUUAUCUCUCUGAAGUUGCAGUGGAGCAGGUUAAAAUUACAAACCUUAUCUCCUUAAAGUUGUAGUGGAGCAGACUGAAGAUAGCUAAUCCUAUCUCUCUGAAGUUGCAGUAGAGCAGAUUAAAACAACGAGUCCUAUACCUCUGAAGUUGCAGUAGGUCGGAUCAAAUCUACCAUGGUAAAUCUUAUCUCCUUGAAGUUGUAGUGGAGUAGAUUGAAG
This 226-nucleotide long non-coding RNA is filed under the name Gossypium barbadense (sea-island cotton). RNAcentral describes it as "long non-coding RNA (GBAR_LNC009962)". The record is from RNAcentral. Lineage: Eukaryota; Viridiplantae; Streptophyta; Magnoliopsida; Malvales; Malvaceae.